CGUAACAAGGUCUCCGUAGGUGAACCUGCGGAGGGAUCAUUACACAAAUAUGAAGGCGGGCUGGAACCUCUCGGGGUUACAGCCUUGCUGAAUUAUUCACCCUUGUCUUUUGCGUACUUCUUGUUUCCUUGGUGGGUUCGCCCACCACUAGGACAAACAUAAACCUUUUGUAAUUGCAAUCAGCGUCAGUAACAAAUUAAUAAUUACAACUUUCAACAACGGAUCUCUUGGUUCUGGCAUCGAUGAAGAACGCAGCGAAAUGCGAUAAGUAGUGUGAAUUGCAGAAUUCAGUGAAUCAUCGAAUCUUUGAACGCACAUUGCGCCCUUUGGUAUUCCAAAGGGCAUGCCUGUUCGAGCGUCAUUUGUACCCUCAAGCUUUGCUUGGUGUUGGGCGUCUUGUCUCUAGCUUUGCUGGAGACUCGCCUUAAAGUAAUUGGCAGCCGGCCUACUGGUUUCGGAGCGCAGCACAAGUCGCACUCUCUAUCAGCAAAGGUCUAGCAUCCAUUAAGCCNUUUUUNNACUCUUGACCUCGGAUCAGGUANGGAUACCCGCUGAACUUAAGCAUAUCA
RNAcentral lists this ribosomal RNA (569 nucleotides) under uncultured fungus. RNAcentral's name for it is "eukaryotic LSU rRNA". The stretch from base 208 to 361 matches the Rfam family "5.8S ribosomal RNA". The record is from RNAcentral. Lineage: Eukaryota; Fungi.